AUCCUCAACCAUAAGUCUUCAAAAACACUGCAUCCUGUCUGAUCUGUGUAUUUAACCAGAGUACUGCUUAGAUAGUACCUUAGUAGGGAACUAUGCAGGAAUCCUGAGUGUUAUGGUUU
This 119-nucleotide ribosomal RNA is filed under the name Fomitiporia mediterranea MF3/22. Lineage: Eukaryota; Fungi; Basidiomycota; Agaricomycetes; Hymenochaetales; Hymenochaetaceae. The record is from RNAcentral.